RNAcentral lists this ribosomal RNA (161 nucleotides) under uncultured bacterium. Its description in RNAcentral is "partial 16S ribosomal RNA". It matches the Rfam family "Bacterial small subunit ribosomal RNA", at positions 355 to 509 of the family's 1533-position model. The record is from RNAcentral.
UAGGGAAUUUUCGUCAAUGGGCGCAAGCCUGAACGAGCAAUGCCGCGUGAACGAGGAAGUCUUCGGAUCGUAAAGUUCUGUUGAAGGGGAAAAAGAGCGGAGAGAGGAAAUGGUCUCCGAUUGAUAUUACCCUUCGAGGAAGUCACGGCUAACUACGUGCC